CAGGGAAUAGUUUAAUUAAAAUUUUAAUUUUGGAGAUUAAGGAUAAAUAAUAUAUUUUUCUCUGA
RNAcentral lists this transfer RNA (65 nucleotides) under Dromaeolus sp. ZM-2022. RNAcentral's name for it is "tRNA-Pro". The record is from RNAcentral. Lineage: Eukaryota; Metazoa; Arthropoda; Insecta; Coleoptera; Eucnemidae.